AAAAACUAUGCCACAAAAAAGAAUAAAGAAGUAAUGUUUUGGAUGCCUCAAAAGAUUGUAAGGUGUAGAUGAUAUAACACCAAAAUUGGCAUACCACAUCUAACUUAGAAAUGUCAAAUCUAAAAUCCAAUAGCGAAGUUAUCAAAUGGUUGGAUCCUUUUUUAGGAAUCUGCUUCGUCUAAUCUUUGUUGGUGCAGUAUCUCACACAAUCGCAUAUAGUCAGUUUAGCACUCCGUUUUAUACAGUUGUGCAUUUUCAUUAUAUCAUUUUUUUUUUAAUGUUGGAUCACUGCACAGAAUUAACUUGCUAGGUUUAACCAUCUCAGUUUAUUUAUUACGUAUAUAUCUUAGUACUGAAUCUGAUUCUUACCUACUAUUACUGCCAAAUAGACCGUAAGACGCUCUUAAGUUCACUCUAAAAACACUACUA
RNAcentral lists this long non-coding RNA (429 nucleotides) under Ananas comosus (pineapple). RNAcentral's name for it is "long non-coding RNA (ACOM_LNC021825)". Lineage: Eukaryota; Viridiplantae; Streptophyta; Magnoliopsida; Poales; Bromeliaceae. The record is from RNAcentral.